Molecule: ribosomal RNA, 463 nt
Filed under: uncultured bacterium
Lineage: Bacteria
Description: partial 16S ribosomal RNA
Rfam family: Bacterial small subunit ribosomal RNA
Source: RNAcentral
GAUGAACGCUGACAGAAUGCUUAACACAUGCAAGUCUUUGGCGAAGCUGUGCUUGCACAGCCUAGCCAAGGCGGACGGGUGAGUAACGCGUAAGGAACUUGCCCUGCAGUCAGGGAUAACAGACGGAAACGACUGAUAAGACCUGGUAAAGUCAGGCGGACUCAUGUCCAGCCUGAUGAAAAGAGGUGCUGCAGGAGAGCCUUGCGUCCUAUUAGCUUGUUGGUGGGGUAACGGCCCACCAGGGCGAUGAUAGGUAGCCGGCCUGAGAGGGUGGACGGCCACAAGGGGACUGAGAUACGGCCCUUACGCCUACGGGAGGCAGCAGUGGGGAAUAGUGGACAAUGGGGGCAACCCUGAUCCAGCAAUUCUGUGUGCACGAUGAAGGUUUUCGGAUUGUAAAGUGCUUUCAGCAGGGAAGAAAAAAAUGACGGUACCUGCAGAAGAAGCGACGGCUAAAUACGUG